CCGCCCAUAGCUCAGCUGGUAGAGCUGCUCCCUCUUAAGGAGAAGGUCGGGGGUUCGAAUCCCUCUGGGCGGACAA
This 76-nucleotide transfer RNA is filed under the name Candidatus Wolfebacteria bacterium CG_4_10_14_0_8_um_filter_39_64. Its description in RNAcentral is "tRNA-Lys". It matches the Rfam family "tRNA". Rfam says of the family: Transfer RNA (tRNA) molecules are approximately 80 nucleotides in length. Their secondary structure includes four short double-helical elements and three loops (D, anti-codon, and T loops). Further hydrogen bonds mediate the characteristic L-shaped molecular structure. tRNAs have two regions of fundamental functional importance: the anti-codon, which is responsible for specific mRNA codon recognition, and the 3' end, to which the tRNAs corresponding amino acid is attached (by aminoacyl-tRNA synthetases). tRNAs cope with the degeneracy of the genetic code in two manners: having more than one tRNA (with a specific anti-codon) for a particular amino acid; and 'wobble' base-pairing, i.e. permitting non-standard base-pairing at the 3rd anti-codon position. The record is from RNAcentral. Lineage: Bacteria; Candidatus Wolfeibacteriota. RNAcentral also lists the same sequence under 2 other names.